AUUGAACGCUGGCGGCAUGAUUUACACAUGCAAGUCGAACGGUAACAGGCCGCAAGGUGCUGACGAGUGGCGCACGGGUGAGUAAUGCAUCGGAACGUGCCCAGUCGUGGGGGAUAACUACUCGAAAGAGUAGCUAAUACCGCAUACGAUCUAUGGAUGAAAGCGGGGGACCGUAAGGCCUCGCGCGAUUGGAGCUGCCGAUGUCAGAUUAGGUAGUUGGUGGGGUAAAGGCUCACCAAGCCUACGAUCUGUAGCUGGUCUGAGAGGACGACCAGCCACACUGGGACUGAGACACGGCCCAGACUACUACGGGAGGCAGCAGUGGGGAAUUUUAGACAAAGGGCGGAAGCCUGAUCCAGCAAUGCCGCGGGGAGAAAGAAGGCCUUCGGGUUGUAAACUGCUUUUGUACGGAACGAAACGGCUCUGGUUAAUACCCGGGGCUAAUGACGGUACCGUAAGAAUAAGCACCGGCUAACUACGUG
Molecule: ribosomal RNA, 482 nt
Filed under: uncultured bacterium
Lineage: Bacteria
Description: partial 16S ribosomal RNA
Rfam family: Bacterial small subunit ribosomal RNA
Source: RNAcentral